UGGUUUCGCCUGGGAUCAAACUGGGGACCUUUUGCGUGUAAAGCAAACGUGAUAACCACUACACUAUGAUAUGAAUGUC
Non-coding RNA from Cordylochernes scorpioides, 79 nucleotides. The record is from the annotation of a GenBank genome assembly. NCBI's taxonomy places the organism in Eukaryota, Metazoa, Arthropoda, Arachnida, Pseudoscorpiones, Chernetidae.